Molecule: ribosomal RNA, 305 nt
Filed under: uncultured bacterium
Lineage: Bacteria
Description: bacterial SSU rRNA
Rfam family: Bacterial small subunit ribosomal RNA
Source: RNAcentral
CCCUACGGGGCGCAGCAGUGGGGGAUAUUGCACAAUGGGGGAAACCCUGAUGCAGCGACGCCGCGUGUGGGAAGACGGUCCUCUGGAUUGUAAACCACUGUCCCCAGGGACGAAGAUGACGGUACCUGUCGAAUAAGCCACGGCUAACUACGUGCCAGCAGCCGCGGUAAUACGUAGGUGGCAAGCGUUGUCCGGAUUUACUGGGUGUAAAGGGCGUGUAGCCGGGCUGACAAGUCAGAUGUGAAAUCCGGGGGCUCAACCCCCGAACUGCAUUUGAAACUGUUGGUCUUGAGUAUCGGAGAGGC